GAUGAACGCUGGCGGCGUGCCUAAUACAUGCAAGUCGAGCGAACAGAUGAGGAGCUUGCUCCUCUGACGUUAGCGGCGGACGGGUGAGUAACACGUGGAGAACCUACCUAUAAGACUGGGAUAACUUCGGGAAACCGGAGCUAAUACCGGAUAAUAUAUUGAACCGCAUGGUUCAAUAGUGAAAGACGGUUUUGCUGUCACUUAUAGAUGGAUCCGCGCCGCAUUAGCUAGUUGGUAAGGUAACGGCUUACCAAGGCAGCGAUGCGUAGCCGACCUGAGAGGGUGAUCGGCCACACUGGAACUGAGACACGGUCCAGACUCCUACGGGAGGCAGCAGUAGGGAAUGUUCCGCAAUGGGCGAAAGCCUGACGGAGCAACGCCGCGUGAGUGAUGAAGGUCUUCGGAUCGUAAAACUCUGUUAUUAGGGAAGAACAAAUGUGUAAGUAACUAUGCACGUCUUGACGGUACCUAAUCAGAAAGCCACGGCUAACUACGUG
This 497-nucleotide ribosomal RNA is filed under the name uncultured bacterium. RNAcentral describes it as "partial 16S ribosomal RNA". It matches the Rfam family "Bacterial small subunit ribosomal RNA", at positions 28 to 507 of the family's 1533-position model. The record is from RNAcentral.